This 73-nucleotide transfer RNA is filed under the name Capsaspora owczarzaki. RNAcentral describes it as "tRNA-Met". It matches the Rfam family "tRNA". From Rfam's summary of the family: Transfer RNA (tRNA) molecules are approximately 80 nucleotides in length. Their secondary structure includes four short double-helical elements and three loops (D, anti-codon, and T loops). Further hydrogen bonds mediate the characteristic L-shaped molecular structure. tRNAs have two regions of fundamental functional importance: the anti-codon, which is responsible for specific mRNA codon recognition, and the 3' end, to which the tRNAs corresponding amino acid is attached (by aminoacyl-tRNA synthetases). tRNAs cope with the degeneracy of the genetic code in two manners: having more than one tRNA (with a specific anti-codon) for a particular amino acid; and 'wobble' base-pairing, i.e. permitting non-standard base-pairing at the 3rd anti-codon position. The record is from RNAcentral. Lineage: Eukaryota; Filasterea; Ministeriida; Capsasporidae.
GAGUCUAUAGCUCAAUUGGCAGAGCAUUUUGCUCAUAACGAAAUGGCUAGUGGUUCAAGCCCACUUAGACUCA